This is a long non-coding RNA of Cercocebus atys (sooty mangabey), 2748 nucleotides long. RefSeq lists it as uncharacterized. Lineage: Eukaryota; Metazoa; Chordata; Mammalia; Primates; Cercopithecidae. The transcript has 3 exons. The record is from RefSeq and is a predicted model, not a curated record.
GGGCUUGGGGCGGUCUCCCGCGUGGGUGUCCGUCCCCCCGCGGCCGUACUGCCGGCGCCGGGGCCGGCUCUGCACGUUUCGUAAGGCCUUACAUGGCUGCAUCCCCAGCCACCGAGGACCCGAGCCCGCCGGCCGCCCUCCCGCGCUCUCCCGCCUGGGAACUGCGAGGCCAGUGCUGCACCUCCAAGGGGGGCGCCUGCGGACUCCACCAAGCUGGCUUCCCCCGUACUGCAGGCCCCUGCAGGAGCAGAGGAAUCGGACCCGGGUCUGCAGGCGAGGGACCGAAGGCGUCUUUAGACCUGACAGGGCUGGAAGAGACUUGAGCUUGCAAGAAAAAUAAACCAGAGAAUUUUGAAGGAGGAAUACAGAAAAGGAAUGAUGUUAACACAGAGAAACUCCAAAGUGGAGAGAAACAGAGUUGUGGUAGUAGAUCCCUGAAGACUUUUCACUUCACCAGAAAAUUGAAGUGACAUCCUUCACCAGAAAAUUGGCUGAUGGUAAGAGGCAUUGGGAUGGAGCUGAAGACUCAUGGAGCCUAGAGAAUUCUUUGCAAGGGCUGGGAGGAAAGCAACAGGAAGCUAACUCCAGAUGGAUAACCAUGGAAGCAGGAAGGGCCCGGAUAGGGUUGUGGAGUGGGAUACUUAGGGGGUCCUGUGGUACAGUAGUGACACUUUUUCUAGCAAAACUUGGCAAUCCUGGAGUGAGCAGGUGGUGGGUGAUCUAGAGUGAGAGUUGCCACUGGGGACACUGGCAGGUAAAAGGGCCAAGUGUCCCCAGGAUGUUAGCAAGGGCAGUGCAGAGUAGCUGGUGUGGGUCCAGAUUGAGCAGGACAGUGAGGGAGGCCGGGAAUGUGCUUGUGCUUGGUCCCAUGUGGUUAUAUCAGCCACCAUGACAUUGACCUUCAUAUAUUGAGUUCUUGGAAAUUCUUUGUUUAGCCAAGGAAGAUAGUUAUUUCAGCAUAGGCCAAGCCACAAAAUGAUAGAAUGAGGGUUUACGUUUUUUGUAGAUUGUUCCUUGUCUUGCAGCUCUAACUUAUCUGGAUGAGCCACCAGUGGGACGGUAAUGGCUCCAAAGAAAUGAGUCUCCCUUUUCCUCUGGGGGUUUACCCACUGUCUGACAUUCUUGGCACCAAUUCCUUUCUCAGGUGGGGAGAAUGUGAAUUACUUCUCCUAGAGCUAACAUCUUUUCUAUUCAGCAAAGUCCAAUCACAAGUCAGUUCUUUGAUAUCUCAGGUGGGUUCUGGGAGCAAACUGGCCAAGGACUCCAAAAAGCUACCCUACACUCACUCCUCCAGUACAAAGACAUCCUAUAAUGUUAGAAACACAUGCUUCACUCUGUAACCACUGCUUCUAGCCCUCUCAGGAGGGUGGCUUUGAGAAAUCAUUCCUCAAGAGAAAGUGAGGAAGAGGUAAUUGAAGGCAGGAAUGUGUUUCCAAAAAGAUAGUGUAUUAGUUUCCUAUGGCUGCCAUAACAAAGUACCACAAACUGAGUGAUUAGAAGUUUAUUGACUUACAGUUUUGGAGGCCAGAAGACAGAGAUCAAGGUGUCAACAGGACCAGCUCCUCCUGUUAGCUUUGAGGGAAGGAUCUGUUCCAGGCAUCUCUGCUUGGCUUGUAGAUAGAUAGCCAUUUCUCCCUACUUUCCUUUUCAUCAUCUCCCCUCUAUGCCUGUCCAUGCUGGUGUGUCCAAAGCUCCCCCUUCUAUUAGAUUAGAGUCUAUCCUAUGACCUCAUCCUAACCUAACCCUAAUUACAUCUGCAAUGACUCUAUUUCCCAAUAAGGUUAUAUUCUGAGGUACUAAGGGUUAGGAAUUCAACCUAUGAAUUUGGGGGAUACAUAAUUCAAUCCAUGACAGAUGGAUUGGCAUAGUGUCUUCUUUCUUUUCCCUGACCACUUGCCUGCUAUAGACUCUCAUGACCAUCUUUGUGAAGUAUUGAAAUUUCCUCCCUUGAAUCCCUGUCUCAUAUCCUUCAACCUCCAGUCCACCUUGCAUAUGCCUGUCAAAUUCAUCUUUCUAGAAUUUCCACUUCUAUCAUGCAUCCUGAUUACAAACCAUCCAUGGUUCUCCAUUGCCUGAGGAAGUGGUUCCAAACUUGCCAGUUUACUGGACUCACAUAGAAAGUUUAAAGGCAUAUAGGUUCCUGGGCUCUUCUCUGAUAUUCUGAUUUAAAGUCUGGGGUAGGGUCUCUGGCAUUGAAAACAAAUCUCUAGAUGACUUUGAUCAUGGAAUCCACUGAUAUAAAAAAGAAAUUCAAACUCUCCACACUCUGGUUGAAGUUUACACUUCCACUUCAUUAUUCUAGAACCCUUUGCCUACCUACCAGCGCCCAACAUGCUGUGGUGAUCCUGCCCCAGUGUCAUCUUCGUACUGGACACCUGAGGAGGUGCUCCCUCCCCUAUUCCUCCAACUGGCUCUUGUCCUGCUCUCGUCCCACCUUUUCUUUCAAGUUUCCUGCCACUCUACCCCACUGUCACCUCACCCUUCUUCACCUCCUGUAUCUUCCUGUCUAUGUUACUGCCUAGGCAGAGCUCUCCACCUUCUGAAGGUUCAUAGAGCUUAGAAUCCCAGGGCCAGGAGGGCCCUGGACAUCCUACGUGCCUCAAAGAUCUUCCAAGUUCAGAGGAAGAAAUUGAGUUCCCUAUGUAAUACUUCAAGGCCAUAAGUGGUAGAGCUGGGAAACGGUUCAGGGUGUGACUAUAAGCAACAGAAUUGCAUGAGAUGCUUAGGCUUCUACAUCUCCUUCCUCAC